RNAcentral lists this unclassified non-coding RNA (374 nucleotides) under soil metagenome. Its description in RNAcentral is "partial contains 5.8S ribosomal RNA, internal transcribed spacer 2, and large subunit ribosomal RNA". The stretch from base 1 to 119 matches the Rfam family "5.8S ribosomal RNA", at positions 35 to 154 of the family's 154-position model. The record is from RNAcentral.
GAUGAAGAACGUAGCGAAACGCGAAAGGUAAUGCGAAUUGCAGAAUCAGUGAGUCAUCGAAUCUUUGAACGCACAUUGCGCCCGGCAGUAAUCUGCCGGGCAUGCCUGUCCGAGCGUCAUUUCUCCCCUCGAGCGCAGCUUUCCCCCCCGGGGGAGGGCCGCGCCCGGUGUUGGGGCGCUACGGAGGAGCCCAGCGCUCCCCCGUAGGCCCCGAAAUGUAGUGGCGGUCCCGCCGCGGCGCCCCCUGCGUAGUAGUUUUACAACUCGCAUCGGGUCCCGGCGGAGGCCAGCCGUCAAACCCCCCAACUUCAAUAGUUUGACCUCGGAUCAGGUAGGGUUACCCGCUGAACUUAAGCAUAUCAAUAAGCGGAGGA